GUUUCUAUAGUUGAAUAACAACGA
This 24-nucleotide transfer RNA is filed under the name Stenocranius gregalis (narrow-headed vole). Its description in RNAcentral is "partial tRNA-Glu". The record is from RNAcentral. Lineage: Eukaryota; Metazoa; Chordata; Mammalia; Rodentia; Cricetidae.